RNAcentral lists this ribosomal RNA (439 nucleotides) under uncultured bacterium. RNAcentral's name for it is "bacterial SSU rRNA". It matches the Rfam family "Bacterial small subunit ribosomal RNA", at positions 958 to 1398 of the family's 1533-position model. The record is from RNAcentral.
AACGCGAAGAACCUUACCUACCCUUGACAUCCUUCGAAUCUUACUGAGAGGUAGGAGUGCCGAAAGGAGCGAAGAGACAGGUGCUGCAUGGCUGUCGUCAGCUCGUGUCGUGAGAUGUUGGGUUAAGUCCCGUAACGAGCGCAACCCUUGUCCUUAGUUGCCAUCAUUAAGUUGGGAACUCUAAGGAGACUGCCGGUGAUAAACCGGAGGAAGGUGGGGAUGAGGUCAAGUCAUCAUGGCCUUUAUGGGUAGGGCUACACACGUGCUACAAUGGUCGGUACAAAGGGAAGCGAAGUCGUGAGGCGGAGCGAAACUCAGAAAACCGAUCUUAGUCCGGAUUGGAGUCUGCAACUCGACUCCAUGAAGCUGGAAUCGCUAGUAAUCGCGGAUCAGAACGCCGCGGUGAAUACGUUCCCGGGCCUUGUACACACCGUAGUAC